RNAcentral lists this unclassified non-coding RNA (3252 nucleotides) under Hevea brasiliensis (rubber tree). Lineage: Eukaryota; Viridiplantae; Streptophyta; Magnoliopsida; Malpighiales; Euphorbiaceae. The record is from RNAcentral.
CAAGUCUGGAUUUUGACAUUUCGAAGUCGGUUGCGCACCCCCCCGGCUCUUUCCUGUUAAAACUGAACGUAAAUUUUCUCGAAUUUUCCUUCACUUUCUCUGCAACUUCCCGGGAAAAUUUUCCAAUCAGAUGUCGAUUAAGGAAGGUCAGGAAUUCUAUCGUAGUCUUUCAAGGAAAGAGCUUCAAAGUUUGUGCAAGAAAUAUGGGUUGCCUGCUAGGAAGUCAAGUUCUGAAAUGGCUGAAUCAUUGUUCUCUUUCUUUCAGAAGAAUGAUUUAAGUUUGGCAUCCUUAGGCAAGAGCAGAGGUGGGAUCCAAGAGGUUUUACUUUCUCCAUCCUCAGUAACAAACUGCCAGACUGAAGCACCUUUCAGUUUGACAGGAAAUGUAAUAAAAGAUAGUUUUCGACAGAGAUCUUGUCCUAGAGAAGAAGGUAAUAAAGGAAAUAGAAACACUAAAUGCAAUGAAAUGGAAAGCUGUGUGGGACUCGGAGUUUAUGACAAGGAAGCCAUCGGUGGCUCAAUUGAUCAUUUUCAGGGUUCAUCCCUGUCUCAAACCAUUUUACAGAGUGCUGGUGGUGGUGUCAUCCAUAAGGAACCCCCAUCAAGCCUCAGUGGCAGGUUGGAAGAUACUCCCCAGUUUCAUUGUGGACACAUAAAUGUAGGUGUCUGUCCUAUAGAGAAUGCCUCUCCUAAAAUGAGAACUUAUACAAAGGUUCCUGCCUCUUUUGAGUUUUAUGUCAGUUCAGAAGAGGGAAUCAAACUCUGUGUUGAUCUGAAUUCAAGCCCCUCAGACUGGAUUAAGAAAUACAAAAAUCAGGUUUCUUUAACUAUGAAUGUGGACAGUACCAAGUCUCGAAGUAUUCAUCAAGAGCUUGGGUGCAUUAGAGAAAGUGAUAAUACACAAAUAAAAAGUUCCUUUCCUCAAAAUGUAAAUCCUGAUGAAAUUGAGGAUGGCCGUGGACAAGGCAAACCUUCUCCAAGUUUGGUUAUGGAAAAUAAUAUAGGGAUUGAUCAUCCAGAUGGAGGUAAUAAAUCAUCAGCAAUCUUGCUGACAAGACCAUGUAGUGUGGAGGGAUCAGACUGCUUAGGGGAAGAUCAGGGACCUAUCUCAUCUAAACCUAGAUCUAAUGUGCAGAACCAAAUAAUUUCUAAUAUAGAAUCCUUCACUGAGAAUGGGGAUAGUACUAUACUUGAUUCAGAUAUCAUUGAUACUCCAACAGAAAAGACAGCCUGUAAUUUUGCUGUUAACUCCAUAUCCGAUGGCUCAGUAGAUCUUAUUGCAAUUGAGCAUCAGAAUUCAAAGCGAGAUGAUGAAGUUUGUGAGAAUUCAACCCGGCAAAACAAUAGUGAUCUUGAGAAUAAUUGUGUUGUGUUUCCUGGAUUCUUGGCCAGUAGUUCUGCAGAAAUGCAGUUGUCAGAAGCUGGAAAUUACCACAAAGACACAUCAUGUUCACCUAAUAAAAAUGGUGAACUCUUGGACCUAGAUGAUUCAAAGCACAAUAUAGUAAAUGAGCAAGCUGCAUUAGCCAUGUCAAGUGAGAAUGAUCAGUGUGGGAACCAUUCGCCUACAUGCUCUGAAGAGCGGGAAUGGAACAAUAUUGUUAAUAUGAUGGAGAGUUCAGUAUGCUCAGAAGUUGACAACUCAGUUGAGAAAACUUGUUUACAGUCUGAUAAUCUCGAAUCAAAUGAAGAAUUUUGCAGAAAGAGGCCAUUUAUAGACAGUGAGGGUCAAAAUAGCUGCAGUAAACAUGAUGCAAAAAUUUUAAGAAGCAAGAAGCAUUCUGCAGUGGAAGCUCUUCCCAGAAGAUCCAUGCGGCUUGUCUCUAAGGGAUCUACUGAUAGUGACUGACUGGUAAGAUUCGCAAGAGUCCAGCAAUGGUGUUGGGAGAAGAUCUAGUUGCAAACAGUGGCUAGAGGAGGCGCCACGCACUGACACCGUGCCAUUUCUAACGGCGAUCUCCGAGAAGCUAACUUGCCAGCAGCUAGUGCUUCUUUGGGAAUUGGGAUGAGACUUAAAGAUCAAUAUAAAAGGGGGUAAGGCUUUUGAAAUAUAUAUGGGUCUAUGUUUUCAAACCUGACAAAAAAAAAAAGUAGAAAUCAAAUGAGGGACUUUAAACCCUCGGCCAAAAUGAAGUAGAAGAAUAAGAGAGUUGGGUUUCAACCCUUGGCUCUCAAAUCAUGAAGAAGGAGAAGAAAAAAAUAAUGAAUAUUUUGGGACUAAAACCCACAACUUUGGGACUCAAAUCCAGAAGAAGGAAAACAGAUUUUGGGACACGAAUCUGUAACUUUCUGCAGAAGGAGAAGAAUAAGAAAUGAGAAACCCAGAAUUUUCUGAAGGCUCUGAUGCGAUGUAAAGUUUUUAGAAAGAAAGAAGAGAUUGGAGGAAAAUAACAACAGAAUGAUUUAUGUGGUUCUACGACGGAGAGCCUACAUCAGCAGACACAAAACCACAAAGGGACUACAUUUUAUUCAUUUUUGUGUUGUUAAUAUAAUACAUAAGCCUCCGUAUAUAUAAUGGAAGAUGCAUGAUAUAUAUGGUAUGCUAUAAAUAAUAAAUCAAUCCUUAUUUUUGCUAAUCAAUCUUAUGAUUUUAUCAUAAACAUGAGAUUCCAUACAUUAAGGUAAAAUCUCAUCAAUUCCAACAAUUAUGUUAGCUUGAUAAAAUAUACAUGAAAAGACGUCAAGCUAAGGCACAUGUAUCCCACUCUCUUUAAGGAGAUUCAAACUCUUGUUAACUUGUCUUUUAUUAAUGUAGCAGAACUUCUCUUUUAUUGACUUGUCUCCACCGUGAUACAAUAUCUCGACAGUUUCGUCGUGUGGAUGAACCAACUUUGCACUAGAUGUUGAACCCAAAGCUCCACCAAUGGAACACCCUUUUUUGUCUAUAAACACUCUAUAGCUUUUGUAUAAAACUCAUAUGCUUGCACUUAAUGAUAUACGCUAAGAAAAGAAGCUACCUAUAUAUAAGAGCUCAACAUGUCAAUGUAAACACAAGACAUAAAAAGCUCAAGUUAACUUUCAAUUAAUGAACAAAAUUAAGUUUAAUUAAUAAACUUUAAAAACUACAAUAAAUAUUAAAAUGUUACAAUAUCAUGCUUCUUGCAGUCUUAUUAGAAAUAAUUAUGGAUUUCAUUUAAUAUUAUUCUUUUUGCCUAUGUUAGAGGAUUUUUUUUUGUAUUCUGUAGUAAGCAUUAGUUUUUCAUAUUCUUGACAGCACCAAAAUUUUCUCCAGAUUAGUCACACGCUAUAUUA